Molecule: long non-coding RNA, 440 nt
Organism: Drosophila miranda
Lineage: Eukaryota; Metazoa; Arthropoda; Insecta; Diptera; Drosophilidae
Exons: 2
Source: RefSeq, a predicted model, not a curated record
UUAGAAGUGGACGAGCCCCAAAAGGUGUCGGCAGAUCGCAGUCGUACUUGGGAGGCUGGGGCCUGGGGCCUGUCGCCGAUCGCCUGUCUCCCAUCGAUUAUCGCCCAACGCGGCGACUGCAUUCAGAGCUGCCGCCCGUGCCGCCUGUGUCGCCCGUGCUGGGCGCCUAAUGACUGGGAAAGUGUUCAAAGCUCAAACGUUUGCAAUUCUUAAACGUAUUCUGAUAAGAUUCUAUACAGUAGCCCGCAGCUGAUUAAUCCUUAACCCGACAAAUUGAUAAGACGGCUGGCUCUCGACUAUUUAGAGAUGUCUAAUUAAUGUGUCGCGCAAGCCUUUUAUGGGAUUUUUCCUGCACCACUUGCACACUUUUGUUGGGGGACCUCAGUCCCCUUAUCGGGAGGUGCGGCUUAUUGACGCCUCUACAAACUAGUACCAAGAAA